UGCCAUAAGCGGUGCCACGUUUGACUUGGACCGUAAAGAACCCCUCAGGUCAGCUGGGCUUCCAGAAGGAGCUCUUUGUAAUUAGCAAACUUUUUAAAAAAUUAACACAUGAAAUUCUUUGAGCCACUGCAGUGACCAUAUUCUCACUGAAGGCUUGUUUCUCUUCACGAGGAGGAAGAGUCAUGGACUGUAACUGAAAGACGACAGCCUGGGGAGACAGGAGGUUAAGUUCCACAAAACAGCUGACUAGAGAUCCCACCAGGCCUGUCACCACCUCCACCUCUAGCAUCUCAGAGGACAGCAUCAAAUGGGUCACUCUAGAUAUUUUUGUACUCUGAUGCUGUUACAAAAAGUGCUUCAUCAUCAAGGAGAUUCAUGGAAAGGCUAUGGAAACCGUUACAACAGUUCCACAUCAAGAUGAUGGCUAUGCGAGGAUUCCAGCACAUACCAACUUAAAACAAGGAGCUGUCCUACCCCUGGGGCCCCUAGAUCAGGCAUCCAGAGAUUUUUACUUCCUGACAGGCCCCUACUCAGCCUUGAAGCAGUUACAGAAGAUGGACCAUUGCCCCUCUGCUUCCCAUAAGAAUAUGGGAGUCUGAAUUUUUUUUUGUUUGUUUAUUCAAAAUUGUUCUAGCUACUGUAGGUCCUCUGCAUUUUCAUAUAAGUUUUAGAAUCAGCCUGUCAGUUUCUGUUUUGAAAACCAUGUUGGGAUUUUAACUAGGAUUACAUUGAACGAGGCAUCUCAACAAUUCAUAAAUAUAGUUUCUCUCUUUAUAUGUUUAAGUUUUCUUUAGUUUGUCUCACCAAUGUUUUAUAGUUUUCCAAGUAGAGGUCUUAUACACCUUUUUUUUUA
Lagenorhynchus albirostris (white-beaked dolphin) is the source of this 853-nucleotide long non-coding RNA. RefSeq lists it as uncharacterized. Lineage: Eukaryota; Metazoa; Chordata; Mammalia; Artiodactyla; Delphinidae. The record is from RefSeq and is a predicted model, not a curated record. The transcript has 3 exons.